Molecule: transfer RNA, 69 nt
Filed under: Rattus norvegicus (Norway rat)
Lineage: Eukaryota; Metazoa; Chordata; Mammalia; Rodentia; Muridae
Rfam family: tRNA
About the family: Transfer RNA (tRNA) molecules are approximately 80 nucleotides in length. Their secondary structure includes four short double-helical elements and three loops (D, anti-codon, and T loops).
Source: Rfam by way of RNAcentral
GGGGAUUUAGCUCAGUGGUAGAGCACUCGCCUAGCAAGCGCGAGGCCCUGGGUUCAGUCCCCAGCUCCG